GAUAGGUGGGAGGCUUUGAAGUGUGGACGCCAGUCUGCAUGGAGCCGUCCUUGAAAUACCACCCUUUAAUGGCUGGUGUUCUAACGUAGACCCGUGAACCGGGUUGCGGACAGUGUCUGGUGGGUAGUUUGACUGGGGCGGUCUCCUCCUAAAGCGUAACGGAGGAGCACGAAGGUUGGCUAAUCCUGGUCGGACAUCAGGAGGUUAGUGCAAUGGCAUAAGCCAGCUUGACUGCGAGCGUGACGGCGCGAGCAGGUGCGAAAGCAGGUCAUAGUGAUCCGGUGGUUCUGAAUGGAAGGGCCAUCGCUCAACGGAUAAAAGGUACUCCGGGGAUAACAGGCUGAUACCGCCCAAGAGUUCAUAUCGACGGCGGUGUUUGGCACCUCGAUGUCGGCUCAUCACAUCCUGGGGCUGAAGUAGGUCCCAAGGGUAUGGCUGUUCGCCAUUUAAAGUGGUACGCGAGCUGGGUUUAGAACGUCGUGAGACAGUUCGGUCC
Molecule: ribosomal RNA, 496 nt
Filed under: Salmonella enterica
Lineage: Bacteria; Pseudomonadati; Pseudomonadota; Gammaproteobacteria; Enterobacterales; Enterobacteriaceae
Description: partial 23S ribosomal RNA
Rfam family: Bacterial large subunit ribosomal RNA
Source: RNAcentral